AUUAACUUAGCAAAAAAUAAUGUAUCAAUUUUAGAAUUUGAAGAUGAAAUUUUUCAGUUAAUA
Molecule: transfer RNA, 63 nt
Filed under: Ixodes barkeri
Lineage: Eukaryota; Metazoa; Arthropoda; Arachnida; Ixodida; Ixodidae
Description: tRNA-Leu
Source: RNAcentral